CAGGAUUAGAGUUGAAGCCACAUGACCCUCUUACUGAUGGAUUCUUGAAAAUAAAUAAAAAGCACUUUGGGUUUUUCCGGGUAAAUUAUGACACUCACAAUUGGAAUGAACUGUCUAAUUUAUUACUGACCAACCAUACGGUAAGCAUCAAUAUAAACAAUAAACUGAUGAAAUGUUUAAACCAACUUUCAUUUUUUUACAAUAUACAAGAUUUUUUAUGAUAUAUAUUAAUAAAAGAAAACGCUGUCUGUUUUCAGGUUUUCACUGUUUAUAGUUGAGUAACACUAGUAAACACCAUUUUUAUACAGGUAUAACCAUCUGAUGUUUAUUAAGAAGCGUGCAUUUUCUGCCUAAUGGGGGGCCACAACACAUUUUGUUAUGGUGCGCAACUUUGGAUUUUUAUUUUUAUUUUUAAAUGUGGUCAGCUAUUGAAAAUUUAGCCACAAUUGAUCAUUUAUAUGUUAUGUAUCAAAAAGACUAAAACUUAAAGGAACACUCUAAGCAUCAUUUGCAAUAAAGCACGCAGUAGAAGUUAUGGUGCCAGAAGUUCUCUGAUGCCCCUGAUUGUAAGUAGUUACACCUCUACCUCUACUGCAGAAUUUUAAAUUAUUUGUCUUCCUAAUUACAGCCGUACUGUCCUCAUGCAAUCUUUAUUGGUGAAUUUCAUAAUGCCUAUUAAUAGCAUGAUUUCCCAUUUGAAGUUACCGCCGGUAUCAUAAUGCUGUUAAGAGGCAUUAUGUAAAUGCCUAUUAAAUGUAAUUUCAUUCUAACUGUAUUUUGUUAUUAAUAUAUAUAUAUAUAUAUAUAUAUAUAUGUAACAAAAUACACUUAGAAUGACAUUCUAUAUAUAUAUAUAUAUAUAUAUAUAUAUAUAUAUAUAUCUUUCUAUAUAUAAAAUACAAAUAACCGCAAGGGAAGUCAUUAAGUAAUGUGCCCCGGGGUGGCCAACAUUUCGCAUAGAUGAACGCAGUCCAGGGUGAGCAUCUGUAUCCCGAAAGGAGCCGCUUACCUUGCAGGGUUUCACACAGGAACAUUGCGAGUGGAGACUGGUUGAGUAAGGCACCACUGUGAGGGUCCCUGAGGUUGGUGUGGACACUUUUGGGGCACUGGCUAGGUUGGCGGGCUUUCCGAUACCUGCAGGACAAAGAGACCAGCUCUUUUCCCGUGGUCAGGCUUUUCUGUGCCUGGGAGACAAAGGGACAGUCCCUUUUUCCCGCGCCUGGACUCCCAGGCACAGAGGCUUCUGGGAAGAGGACCCUUGGCGGUUGGUGUGGGAAAUCCUGUGGUUUCAGUGGCGGCCUUUGGGGACAAAGGGAACGGAGUCACUUCCCACGCUAGGACCCCAGGGAGGGGGAGGAUCCUGGGAUGUGACCCCGUAUGAUUGUGUGGUAGACCUCUUGCAUCUGGUUAUGCAUAAAAGCCGUGUGUGGCCAAUAAAAUUGUGUUGUACCUCUAGAACUCGGUGUCGUCCAGUUACUGGGGGGGAAAUGGGUCUUUUAUCAUUAUAAGUGGUUCCUGAGUGGCUGAAGGAAGGAAUUAGCUGGGGUCCGUUGCAGUGUCACAUACAUCACAGAAAAGGUGGGGUAGGGAAGGAGGAACGAGACUAUCUAGGUACCUGUUAAUGCACUCGGAGCAUGCUAACAGUCCACAGGUUAGGGUGUGCAAUACUUGCCUUGUCUUAGGUGCUGGCGACCCAUGCUACACCACUGACUGCAGCAUAGUGAGACACGGAAUCCCUUGCUCAGGAGCUUACAUUAGCUCUCACAGACAAAGCCCUGUAUUCCAAGGCUAGCUUCAUUGCCUGAGUCUGUCAGUCGAUCGGUUUCACACAAUGAGCUAAGCCCUACAUUGGCUAUCUUAGCUCAGGGAAAACUGCAUCCAGCUCUUACCCAGGUGUUGUAGAGGUGAGGAGAUCCCCCCGGCAGACACCAGAUGAAAGGUUGAACUUCUCUAAAAUAGUUAGACUAGUUAGAAUGGGGGAUGCUAGGACACUACUGACACCAUAACUACUACAGAUUGCGGUAGUGGCUAUGGGGCUUGGGAUGUUCCUUUAACAAUCUUUUUUUUUCCAAACAAACUUUACUUAUAUUUGAGAAUCCACUAUUUUAAAGCAUGUUGCAUCUUUACUUGAGGUGUAAGUAACAUUGUGGGCAAUUUAUUAAUUUUGUUUAUUUCUGUAGAUUUUUUCUGAAGGAGAUCGAGCAGGUAUAAUUGAUGAUGGUUUUGCUUUGGCAAGGUGGGUUAUAGAGCGUUUGCUCAUUUCAUUUUUCCCUUAAUUUUAUAACCUACAGGUAAGCUUCAUUGUGAAAUCAGUAUAUUUCUAUAAGUAAACAAGCCUUUAGAUGAAGUAUUUUCUAUAACUAAAAAGCAUUCAUUUCUGUCAGCACUUGUCUGUCAAAUUUCUAAUUCUGCUUAGUACAGAAUAUACUUAGUAUAUAAUAUAAUAAAUAUAACACUAGACCAGCAUUAAUGAAAUUCGUGAGAAAAUUCCAUAGCAUUAAAUCUUAACAAAAAGAGAAAUUGGAGAUUCUAUGGG
This 2536-nucleotide long non-coding RNA is filed under the name Pelobates cultripes (western spadefoot toad). The record is from RNAcentral. Lineage: Eukaryota; Metazoa; Chordata; Amphibia; Anura; Pelobatidae.